GCCAGGUGUGGUGGUGCACACCUGUAAUCCCAGCUACUUGGGAGGCUGAGGCAUGAGAAUCGCUUGAACCCGGGAGGUAGAGGUUGCAGUGAGCCGAGAUCAUGCCACUGCACUCCAGCCUGGGUGACAGAGCGAGACUUUGUCUUAA
RNAcentral lists this non-coding RNA (148 nucleotides) under Homo sapiens (human). The record is from Rfam by way of RNAcentral. Lineage: Eukaryota; Metazoa; Chordata; Mammalia; Primates; Hominidae.